This 427-nucleotide ribosomal RNA is filed under the name uncultured Bacillus sp. RNAcentral describes it as "bacterial SSU rRNA". It matches the Rfam family "Bacterial small subunit ribosomal RNA", at positions 353 to 772 of the family's 1533-position model. Lineage: Bacteria; Bacillati; Bacillota; Bacilli; Caryophanales; Bacillaceae. The record is from RNAcentral.
AGUAGGGAAUCUUCCGCAAUGGACGAAAGUCUGACGGAGCAACGCCGCGUGAGCGAUGAAGGCCUUCGGGUCGUAAAGCUCUGUUGUUAGGGAAGAACAAGUACCGGAGUAACUGCCGGUACCUUGACGGUACCUAACCAGAAAGCCACGGCUAACUACGUGCCAGCAGCCGCGGUAAUACGUAGGUGGCAAGCGUUGUCCGGAAUUAUUGGGCGUAAAGCGCGCGCAGGCGGUCCUUUAAGUCUGAUGUGAAAGCCCACGGCUCAACCGUGGAGGGUCAUUGGAAACUGGGAGACUUGAGUGCAGAAGAGAAGAGCGGAAUUCCACGUGUAGCGGUGAAAUGCGUAGAGAUGUGGAGGAACACCAGUGGCGAAGGCGGCUCUUUGGUCUGUAACUGACGCUGAGGCGCGAAAGCGUGGGGAGCGAA